This 861-nucleotide ribosomal RNA is filed under the name Triticum aestivum (bread wheat). RNAcentral's name for it is "partial small subunit ribosomal RNA". The record is from RNAcentral. Lineage: Eukaryota; Viridiplantae; Streptophyta; Magnoliopsida; Poales; Poaceae.
AUGGUCUCCACGAACCCGCCGCCGCCGCCGGCGCUGUCCGAGGCGGCCGCCGCCGUGUCGGGCGACGACGCCAGCAAGAAGGUGCGGAAGCCCUACACCAUCACCAAGUCGCGCGAGAGCUGGACGGAGCAGGAGCACGACAAGUUCCUCGAGGCCCUGCAGCUCUUUGAUCGUGACUGGAAAAAGAUAGAAGCUUUUGUUGGUUCGAAGACUGUCAUCCAGAUAAGGAGCCAUGCACAGAAGUAUUUUUUGAAGGUUCAGAAAAAUGGAACCAGCGAACAUGUCCCACCUCCACGACCAAAGCGUAAAGCUGCCCACCCAUACCCUCAGAAGGCCUCCAAAAAUGAGCCAGGAUAUGCCCUGAAGACAGAUCCAUCUGCCAUGCUUAGAAACUCAGGAAUGAACGUGGCUGUUUCUCCAUGGACCCACAAUUCUAUCCCACCAGUUGUCGCCUCAUCUUUCAUGAAAGAAGAUUUAGGUGCUGGGUCUAUGGGUCCAAACAUUUUUUGCUCAAGCAGUAGUGAAGGCCCUCCAAGGGCAUGGCAAUCUGGUGAAACCAAUGACCAGAUAAAUCAAGUUCCAUCACUCCGCAUUAUGCCAGAUUUUGCACAAGUAUACAGCUUCUUAGGCAGUGUUUUCGAUCCAAGCACAAAGGGCCAUUUGCAGAAACUGAAGGAGAUGAAUCCAAUUGAUGUUGAAACGGCACUGUUGUUGAUGAGAAAUCUCUCCAUCAACUUGACCAGUCCUGAUUUUGAAGAUCAAAGGAAGUUGCUGUCUUCGUACAAUUCCACCUCUGAUGAGCUAGAGCUAGGGAGCUCCAGAAGCUCACUUCUUACGGAUAGUGCAUUGAGCCUUUUUUGA